This 556-nucleotide ribosomal RNA is filed under the name Fusarium sp. RNAcentral describes it as "eukaryotic LSU rRNA". The stretch from base 180 to 333 matches the Rfam family "5.8S ribosomal RNA". Lineage: Eukaryota; Fungi; Ascomycota; Sordariomycetes; Hypocreales; Nectriaceae. The record is from RNAcentral.
UUCCGUAGGUGAACCUGCGGAGGGAUCAUUACCGAGUUUACAACUCCCAAACCCCUGUGAACAUACCAAUUGUUGCCUCGGCGGAUCAGCCCGCUCCCGGUAAAACGGGACGGCCCGCCAGAGGACCCCUAAACUCUGUUUCUAUAUGUAACUUCUGAGUAAAACCAUAAAUAAAUCAAAACUUUCAACAACGGAUCUCUUGGUUCUGGCAUCGAUGAAGAACGCAGCAAAAUGCGAUAAGUAAUGUGAAUUGCAGAAUUCAGUGAAUCAUCGAAUCUUUGAACGCACAUUGCGCCCGCCAGUAUUCUGGCGGGCAUGCCUGUUCGAGCGUCAUUUCAACCCUCAAGCCCCCGGGUUUGGUGUUGGGGAUCGGCGAGCCCUUGCGGCAAGCCGGCCCCGAAAUCUAGUGGCGGUCUCGCUGCAGCUUCCAUUGCGUAGUAGUAAAACCCUCGCAACUGGUACGCGGCGCGGCCAAGCCGUUAAACCCCCAACUUCUGAAUGUUGACCUCGGAUCAGGUAGGAAUACCCGCUGAACUUAAGCAUAUCAAUAAGCGGA